This 497-nucleotide ribosomal RNA is filed under the name uncultured bacterium. RNAcentral describes it as "partial 16S ribosomal RNA". It matches the Rfam family "Bacterial small subunit ribosomal RNA", at positions 28 to 507 of the family's 1533-position model. The record is from RNAcentral.
GAUGAACGCUGGCGGCGUGCCUAAUACAUGCAAGUCGAGCGAACAGACGAGGCUCUUGCUCCUCUGACGUUAGCGGCGGACGGGUGAGUAACACGUGGAUAACCUCCCUAUAAGACUGGGAUCACUUCGGGAAACCGGAGCUAAUACCGGAUAAUAUAUUGAACCGCAUGGUUCAAUAGUGAAAGACGGUUUUGCUGUCACUUAUAGAUGGAUCCGCGCCGCAUUAGCUAGUUGGUAAGUUAACGGCUUACCAAGGCAACGAUGCGUAGCCGACCUGAGAGGGUGAUCGGCCACACUGGAACUGAGACACGGUCCAGACUCCUACGGGAGGCAGCAGUAGGGAAUCUUCCGCAAUGGGCGAAAGCUUGACGGAGCAACGCCGCGUGAGUGAUGAAGGUCUUCGGAUCGUAAAACUCUGUUAUUAGGGAAGAACAAAUGUGUAAGUAACUAUGCACGUCUUGACGGUACCUAAUCAGAAAGCCACGGCUAACUACGUG